GAGAGGGCUGAGCUGAUAGUCUACUCACUAAUCAUAUCCUUCAGAUAUAUAUCGUAUCUCUGAGAUAGUUUAGUUUACAGUUGCAGAAGAAAUGUCUACCAUCAUUGUAGCACUCCUGGUUUUCCUGACUAUCCAUGGAGCCUCAGGUAUCAGUCCUAGAUGCUAAUGCCUCUAUAAGGAGAAAAGGCCAAUUGGACGUUUCAUAAGCACAGUGGAGAUUUACCUAGCAAACUCCUACUGCAAAAGCACUGAGAUUAUUGCUACUCUCAAGAAGGAGGGGCAAAAGAUUUGUCUGGACCCCAAUGCUCCAUGGGUCAAACAAGUGCUUAAAAGUAAAAAGAUUACACAGACACCUUGAAGAAUAUACCUUCCCUGAUUUGGCUAAGAUGGACAGAAGAUAGACACAUGGAAAAUAGAAGCACAGACUGCAGUUACAGAACAUAAACUGGGUUCUGUUUGAAGGUGUAGAAGCAGGAUUGUUUAUACCCGUUUUCACUUUACAGCACUUAACUAUGUUCUCUUACUAUUGAUGUGAACUAUCUGUGUUUGUAUUUCCUUAAAAAUAUAUCCUUAUAUACAUUACAUGUUCAUUUAAUACAUUGUGGGGAAAAACCUUAUUAACUAACAGUAAAGAGGGACUAGAUAGUGGGCAAUGAGGACAGAGCACAAUAGCAAGUCAUGAAAUGGGUUUAAAACUUUAUUAGAAAAGUUGGCAUUUAAUGGUUUGUUUUUGUUUGUUUGUAAGGUUUUUAUUAAGCAAUAAAGGUAUUAAUAGAUUUUUUUUUUUUUACAUAUUACAUAGGAUGUUUUGUUGUUGUUUUUUUUAAAUAAUUCACAUUACUACUGUCCCAUUUCUCCAUCUCUGAAUAUAACAUGCCAUACAUCUAAAACUCAUCAUACAGUAUAACUCACCAAAUUCUGUUUUCUUAAAGCAUAUUAAUAAAAAAUAAUAAGAGGAAGAGGAAGUCUGGCCUGGGAAAGCAUUGUGUUACAUUGAGCCCUGUUUCUCUAUAGUUUUUGUUUCAUCCUUUUGCAAAGAUAUAAACACUGUGUGACUGUUCCAUGUGCUGUGCUACAUACUAUACAUUUUGUCAAGGACAUUUUUGCUGCCUUUGAAAUGUCAGGAAAAAAUUGUGGAAAAAUAAAUCUAUUCAUCCAUUUUCUUAACUGGUUAUCCAAUGCAGAGUCAUGGUGGGGCUGGAAUCCUGCCCAAAAUGUCAUAGGGUGAGAGGUUGACAGGUACACUCUAUUCAGGUCCAUUGCAGGGCAAAGCAAAAAGGAGAAUUUCUUGGAUUGUGUCAUGUAGACUAUGGCACACAGUGAGAUUAUAUUUUCAAUGGAAGGAGAUUGCCACCUCUUGGACAAAGAUGCAUACCAUUAGGAUUGUCUCAUUUACUGAAUACCUCUAUAGUAGCUGAAAGCCAUUAUGUUCUUUCAAAAUUAAACAGUUUUUACUGUGCCCUUUUCAAGAAAAAUCCUUAGCUGGUGUAUAACCAUAGUCAUUUAUGCUUCUUCUGAGCUGACUGCAGAACAACUAGUAUUUUAGUUUUAAACACAGUAACAAAGUUAACAAUAAAAAAAAUGUACUAUGUACUUGUUUUGUAUCAUCACUGCUGCUUUGAAUAAAGACUUGUGAAUAAAGGAAAUACAGUCACCUCUUUUUGGGACUGUGAUUUCAAAAGCAACAGCAGAUAUUUGAUCUUAGCCUAUGAAAGUUAUGCUGACAUGCAGAAUGUCACAAUAUUAACCACUUCCCAGUUACACAUCUGCUUUUUAUUCCCCCUUUGACUUGCCCUAACUCUCUACUCCCUUCAGAUCUGUUCUCUGUCGUUCUGUAACUCUUGUUUUCCUACUUUUCCCACUGACUUAAAUGCAAAUGUUAACACACUGGGAUGUCAUGUUGAUUUACUGCCAAAGUAAAUAA
This is a long non-coding RNA of Pelmatolapia mariae (spotted tilapia), 1924 nucleotides long. RefSeq lists it as uncharacterized. The record is from RefSeq and is a predicted model, not a curated record. NCBI's taxonomy places the organism in Eukaryota, Metazoa, Chordata, Actinopteri, Cichliformes, Cichlidae. The transcript has 4 exons.